This 540-nucleotide ribosomal RNA is filed under the name Weissella confusa. RNAcentral's name for it is "bacterial SSU rRNA". It matches the Rfam family "Bacterial small subunit ribosomal RNA", at positions 68 to 578 of the family's 1533-position model. Lineage: Bacteria; Bacillati; Bacillota; Bacilli; Lactobacillales; Lactobacillaceae. The record is from RNAcentral.
GAUUUAAAGAGCUUGCUCAGAUAUGACGAUGGACAUUGCAAAGAGUGGCGAACGGGUGAGUAACACGUGGGAAACCUACCUCUUAGCAGGGGAUAACAUUUGGAAACAGAUGCUAAUACCGUAUAACAAUGACAACCGCAUGGUUGUUAUUUGAAAGAUGGUUCUGCUAUCACUAAGAGAUGGUCCCGCGGUGCAUUAGCUAGUUGGUAAGGUAAUGGCUUACCAAGGCGAUGAUGCAUAGCCGAGUUGAGAGACUGAUCGGCCACAAUGGGACUGAGACACGGCCCAUACUCCUACGGGAGGCAGCAGUAGGGAAUCUUCCACAAUGGGCGAAAGCCUGAUGGAGCAACGCCGCGUGUGUGAUGAAGGGUUUCGGCUCGUAAAACACUGUUGUAAGAGAAGAAUGACAUUGAGAGUAACUGUUCAAUGUGUGACGGUAUCUUACCAGAAAGGAACGGCUAAAUACGUGCCAGCAGCCGCGGUAAUACGUAUGUUCCAAGCGUUAUCCGGAUUUAUUGGGCGUAAAGCGAGCGCAGACGG